UGCCUCGUUGGGCGAUACGCCAUAUUGGCGCGGCGAUUGUGAAAUAGAAGACUGAUAUCUCUUAGUGAACCGACUAUUUUCGAAACUGCAACAACAUGAGGAAUGUUAAAACUAGAAAACAGGGAAUCACAUUUCACAGGUACCAGUGCAAACAGUCUGGAUUUUCAGCUGUGCCUCCUGGAAGGCCUGAACAGAUGGAACCAGCAUCCCUGUCAGUGAAGACUGCCUCACUUGUGAGCCACUCAGGUGACCUUGUGCAGUCUGUAAACACCUAAAGGUUUUUGAGAGGAAGCUGGUGCCCAGUUUUCAGCCCCCUGCAUAAUAUAGUGCACUAGGAGAAUGGAGAAAGCAGUGGAUUGGACAGAUGACAAGUACUGGGCAGCCUGGGAUAAGUGGGAUGAGGUGAUAGAUUGGGGAGAUGAAAAGUCUUCACCCACAACACCUCCCUCUAUCCAGGCUGGCACCAGCACUGGAGACGUGGAUGUUGGGGUGGAUCAUCACCAGCAGCCAGUAUUCAAACGCCAGCAAAAGAAACUGGUUUUGAGGAUGAGACUCCAUCUGUGUGUCCAGCCUCAGCCUCAACAAGCGGCGCAGAAAGUAAAUGACAGGGAGGAAGAAGCCGCAGUUCUGUCUAACAUGUCAUCUUGGAGGGAACCUGUUACUCAGGAACACAGGGAGUCAAAAAGGCAUAAGGACCCAUUCUCCGUGCCUGGAUAUGAGACCCACCACUGGCCCAGAGAAAAAUACUGGUCGCGACAGCCAGCAAAGACAGUCAUUGAUGAAAAUAUCAUCCUGGGCUUCUGCAAU
Molecule: long non-coding RNA, 807 nt
Organism: Brienomyrus brachyistius
Lineage: Eukaryota; Metazoa; Chordata; Actinopteri; Osteoglossiformes; Mormyridae
Exons: 5
Source: RefSeq, a predicted model, not a curated record